RNAcentral lists this transfer RNA (58 nucleotides) under Loxodonta africana (African savanna elephant). It matches the Rfam family "tRNA", at positions 8 to 63 of the family's 71-position model. From Rfam's summary of the family: Transfer RNA (tRNA) molecules are approximately 80 nucleotides in length. Their secondary structure includes four short double-helical elements and three loops (D, anti-codon, and T loops). Lineage: Eukaryota; Metazoa; Chordata; Mammalia; Proboscidea; Elephantidae. The record is from Rfam by way of RNAcentral.
UGGUGCAGUGGUUAGAGUACUUGGCUGCUAACCAAAAGGUUGGUGGUUCAAACCCACC